ACCUUGGGGAGCUCAGUCAGUCGAUCAUGAGACUCUCAAAUGGAUGGAAAGCCACAAGACUCUUAAUCUCAGGGUUGUGGGUUUGAGCCCCAUGUUGGGUG
This is a non-coding RNA of Podarcis lilfordi (Lilford's wall lizard), 101 nucleotides long. The record is from the annotation of a GenBank genome assembly. Lineage: Eukaryota; Metazoa; Chordata; Lepidosauria; Squamata; Lacertidae.